RNAcentral lists this unclassified non-coding RNA (229 nucleotides) under plant metagenome. RNAcentral describes it as "partial contains small subunit ribosomal RNA, internal transcribed spacer 1, and 5.8S ribosomal RNA". The record is from RNAcentral.
UCUCCGUAGGUGAACCUGCGGAGGGAUCAUUACAGAGUUUUUGCCCGCAAGGGUAGAUCUCCCACCCUACGUUAUUCCUUCUCUGUUGCUUUGGCGGGCCGUCCGGCCUCGGUCAGGCCACCGGCUCCGGCUGGUGCGCGCCCGCCAGAGGACCCCAAACCCUAAAUGUCAGUGUCGUCUGAGUACUAUAUAAUAGUUAAAACUUUCAACAACGGAUCUCUUGGUUCUG